RNAcentral lists this ribosomal RNA (414 nucleotides) under uncultured microorganism. RNAcentral describes it as "bacterial SSU rRNA". It matches the Rfam family "Archaeal small subunit ribosomal RNA", at positions 459 to 872 of the family's 1478-position model. The record is from RNAcentral.
CAGCAGCCGCGGUAAUACCGGCGGCCCGAGUGGCGGUCACUAUUAUUGGGCUUAAAGCGUCCGUAGCCGGGUUGGUUAGUCUCCCGGGAAAUCUGGCCGCUUAACGGUCAGAAUUCCGGGAGAUACUGCCAGCCUAGGGACCGGGAGAGGCCGAGGGGAUUCCCGGGGUAGGGGUGAAAUCCUAUAAUCCCGGGAGGACCACCUGUGGCGGAGGCGCUCGGCUGGAACGGGUCCGACGGUGAGGGACGAAGGCCAGGGGAGCAAACCGGAUUAGAUACCCGGGUAGUCCUGGCUGUAAACGAUGCGGACUUUGUGUCGGACAAGCUAUGAGCUUGUCCGGUGCCGGAGGGAAACCGUUAAGUCCGCCGCCUGGGGAGUACGGCCGCAAGGCUGAAACUUAAAGGAAUUGGCGGG